RNAcentral lists this ribosomal RNA (187 nucleotides) under Burkholderia cenocepacia. RNAcentral describes it as "partial 16S ribosomal RNA". It matches the Rfam family "Bacterial small subunit ribosomal RNA", at positions 1 to 183 of the family's 1533-position model. Lineage: Bacteria; Pseudomonadati; Pseudomonadota; Betaproteobacteria; Burkholderiales; Burkholderiaceae. The record is from RNAcentral.
UUGAACUGAAGAGUUUGAUCCUGGCUCAGAUUGAACGCUGGCGGCAUGCCUUACACAUGCAAGUCGAACGGCAGCACGGGUGCUUGCACCUGGUGGCGAGUGGCGAACGGGUGAGUAAUACAUCGGAACAUGUCCUGUAGUGGGGGAUAGCCCGGCGAAAGCCGGAUUAAUACCGCAUACGAUCCAC